ACUCUUUGUGCUCAUUGAAGUCGUAGAGUAAAAGAUCUGAGUGUUAAUCUGAUUUGUAGGCUCUAUAAUUAGCAGAGCAGAAGCCUUUUCUCUCAGCAGGAAGAGAGUGAAAGGUCCAUCACUGCUCUUCAGUGGUGUGUUCGUCAGGAAGAGAAGUGGGUUUCCUCUGUUUGGAUGAGCAGAAUCAGGCCGGACUCUUCACAUUUACAGGCAAGAGUUCAGUUGGAGGACCAAGCUCUAAAUUUAUCACCUGAGUUAAAAUAAAAUGGAAGAUGUCUCUAAGCCUCUGUCACCUUCAGCUGCAGAGUCUCAAGAUGACCAAGAACUGAUGCCAGACCAGAAUCCAAAGAGUCUUGGAGAUGAUCAGGACCAGAAAUGUUGGCUGGUAAAUCCAGAUGAAGAUGACAUUUCUGGCAAAGUGCUUGAAGACCAGGAUCCUCAUCUGGAUCAUGAACCAGAGGUUCAGACAGAAGACAGAUUUCCAACACAGACUUAUGAAGAAGACUCAUCAGGACAGUCAGAGUUCAGUCCAGUUGCAGAGGAGAAGAUCCAGGACUGUAUGGAUGAAGCCUCCGGUGAGUAUCAGAACCGAUCAGGACCGGACCUGACGUCUGCUCCGACCAAUCAGGAUGAAGCUGGGGAGUCAGGUGGCGGCGUGCCGGCGCUGGUGGUCACUGAGGCGGAUCAGGCCCGUCGGUCAGCAGCGGUUCCUCAGAGAGCAGUGAGGCCUCUGGACCUGGUGAUCCCUGCAGCCAUGAGUGUAAGCAAUCUGAGCUCCAGUGGCGAUGGAGGAGACGCAAACUUCUGUGACCUCCCGUCUCCAAGGAGCGACUCCUGCUCUGUGACCAGCGAGGUGACCAUCUCCAGGAGGAGUGAAGAGGACGAUACGAGGAGCGUCACUGCUUCAUCUGUCUUGUCUCUGUUCCACAGGGUGCAGCUGGAUCCGCUGGAGAAGGACUGGCUGAGGAGUUCAGCUGUGGGGAACAUGGCCGCUCAGCGCCUGCUGCUCGCUCAGGACCCUGGCCUCGUGUUGAAGAAGGACUUCAUCACUGGGACGGCACUCCACUGGGCAGCAAAGCAAGGCCGUCAGGAGGCCGUGGACAUGAUGAUUCACUCUGGAGCCGACGUCAACGUCCGAUCGGUGAGGGGUUACACCGCUCUUCAUCUCGCCUCUAUUCACGGACAUCAGGAGGUGGUUCAGACCCUCAUCAGCACAUACAACUCACCGGCCAGAAGAAAGCACUGAUGCAAAGCGCUGCUGCCAACAAAGAGCUCAGAUUGACAGUGGAACCUCCUCCACCUCCAUUCCUCUGUGCUCCGGUCUCCAGCUGCCUCCAUCACGGACCUGGACCAUUUACGACACAACCCUGGGAUACACAUGGAUUUAUGUGGAUACAUUGGUUCAAAAUUUAAAUAUCUGGACAUCAGAAGAGAGGUUAUGUUCAACCAAACCAAAUGUAGCAAUGCUGGAAGAGCCGAAUGCCAGCUGUGAAGCCUGGAGGUAGAAGUGUCGUGGUUUCAGACGCUUUGCUGCAGCAGAACCAAAAGGAAAUUGAGGAAUAAUUUGAAGUUUCCUGGAAGUUUGGAGCUUCAGAUAAGCGGACCAGCAGGAUCUGGCUCUGCUGGAGUGAACCUGGAUGUUGAUGCUGUUUUAUUCUUCCUGAGAAGCUGCCGCCUCUCCUCCGUCAGAGGAAGGUGUUGACCUGCUCAGCUUCGCGUUUUAUCUCUAAUUACUCACCGUGUCUGCGUGGUCUCUGAGCUCUUCUCUGAGCCUGUUUGUGGAGGUUGAAGAGGUUUAAAGUGGUUCCUCAGGCAGGCUAACCGUUUGUUAAUGAAGGUCAGCUGCAGGCUUCAUUAUUUGAUUGGUUUCAGCUUUUAUGACCGCAAAGGCCUGUCUGCACAUCAUGUAGUGACAUGAAGAUGGACUUUAGGAUCGUUACGUCACUACACUAAUCCAAACAGAGCAUCCCGCUGUUUCCUGCUCCUCUGUAAAAGCAGGAAUAAAUUCUUGUUAUUUUGUGCUAAAUUCCUAAUUCAGUCCUAACUUGUUUUCCUUUAUGUCAGCCAGACUUCCAUGUAAUCUGUUACUGCUUCACCUGUUUGCUUUCCAGUCCUUGUUCACUGGCCAAAAAAUCUGGGUAAAGUGGACAAAUGGAGGAUAAGAGAUCAAAAAGUCUAAAAACAAUAAAGUCAACAGUGUAACUAAAAAUCUACAUAAUCAGACACUUUGAUGUGUAUUUUUCUCU
Non-coding RNA from Poecilia reticulata (guppy), 2246 nucleotides. The record is from RefSeq and is a predicted model, not a curated record. NCBI's taxonomy places the organism in Eukaryota, Metazoa, Chordata, Actinopteri, Cyprinodontiformes, Poeciliidae.